This is a long non-coding RNA of Fukomys damarensis (Damara mole-rat), 1708 nucleotides long. NCBI's taxonomy places the organism in Eukaryota, Metazoa, Chordata, Mammalia, Rodentia, Bathyergidae. The record is from Ensembl.
GGCUGUUCCAGGGUGCUGCCUCCUGCGUGGUUGGGGGCAGGGGUGUCUUUCCUGCUCCACUGUCUAUCCGCAGCCCUGCGCUGCCUGGGCACAGUGCCGAGAAGUCUUCCUGUGCUGCGGUUUAAUGGUGAUUUAACGUUGCAUGCUGAAUUUUCGGGUCGUGUUCGAAAAAUAUAUUACUGACCUUUAGAGCAUUUUUUUAAAGCAGCAAAACCAUGUCAUUUUAUUUUCUUUUUGUGUUUUAACCUUGGGAAAGAAGUCUCUUCCCAUUAUUGGAAGCUGAAUUGAAGACAUCCUGGAGGAUUGGCUGAGGCAAUUCCUGUUGAUUUGAGGAUAGCUACUCUCCACAAAGCCAAAAUCGAGAGGAGACGUCUGCCCUUCUGCCCUGGUCCUGCUCCACCCUCGACCCACCCGGGACCUUGCUGGGUGUGACGUCACGGAGGUGGACUGAGAGGAGGCUGCGGGGCUGGGCUCCCACUCCCACCCAGGCUGCGCCCGCGUGGCACGGUGACCUCUAAGUGCCCCUGCCCCAUUCCCAGACCAGCACUGCCCGUAGCCGUGGCUAGGCUUCAGUGCACUGUCUGCAUUUCAUGUGUUAGUAAUAGGAAAAAAAACUGGUUCAAGGGUUUGUGAAAAGAAGUGACAGAAGGAGGAGAAUGCUGUGCUUCGCCAAUAAGAUAGGGUUUGUCCCUUCUCUCCCUCAUCAGCUGACAGCUGCCUGCAGAGCCUCGCACUGGACUUGGAAGCCCCACAGGGGCAGCACACGGGGCUCCUGGCAGCUGUGCCUUGAGGUUCGGACCGGCGACCUUUUCCGGUGAGAACGGUGUAGGCAGUGUUCCUGUACAUGGGGUGAAAAGCCAGCAUGUCGCUUACUUGCAUCGGUUCUCCUCGGUUAUACAGUCCAGCUAAGCAUACCAUAGCAUCAGACUGCAUUUCGACGCAGGACUCACAGAACACUAAAAUCACAGCAGCACUGGGGACUUGGAACACCUCUCUCCGAAACAAGCCAAGUAGACCACCCACUAGCAAAGGUGAGUGACAUCAACACAUUUGCAGACACAGGGAACCUUCAGUAAUUCUAACCAUUCCCUGUCACAUAGGGGAACUUCUCAAUAGUAGUAUUACAGAUUUAGAAAUAAACAGGAAUGAGGAGGCUCCUGAUAACACAGUCUCCCUGGUCAGAGGUGGGUGCCACGUACUUAAAAAGCCACUGACGGACCCAGCUGUGGUCCUGAGUUGACAAUGACUCCCUUAAAAAAAAUUGUGCAUUGUGCUGGAUUGUACCAAUAAACUCAAUAAAAAAGAAAAAAAUAUUGUGCUUACUUUCAGCAGCAUGUCCACUAAUAAUUUAUUGUGUGUGAGAGUGAGGGUAGGGACAUCUGACCAGGACUGUUUAAAGUUGAGGGUUUUCCUGUGUUGUGAUAAACUCUGCAUUAGAGGGAAGAGGAGGGAAAGGGCAAAAUCUCUUUUAACAUUUUAUUCUGAAAAAUGUGAGGAAGGUAUUUGUUAAUACCAUGGUAAUUCCUGUAAAUGUUUUAUGCAUUCAUCAUUCAGCUAAAAAAAAUUUAAGAAAAGCAACAUAAUAAAAAACUUAGAAGUAAUCAAUAAAUAGAAAAGCAACAUCUAAUAAAUUAGAAAAUUGGAUAAUAGUAGAUUUGACCCAUAAAAUGAAACACAAUCAAGACAAUGAACUAUGCCUUAAAAGGAC